AACGGCGAGUGAAGCGGCAAAAGCUCAAAUUUGAAAUCUGGCUCCUUAGGGGUCCGAGUUGUAAUUUGUAGAGGAUGCUUCGGGUGCGGCCACGGCCUAAGUUCCUUGGAACAGGACGUCAUAGAGGGUGAGAAUCCCGUCUUGGGUCGUUGGUCCACGCCCGUGUGAAGCUCCUUCGACGAGUCGAGUUGUUUGGGAAUGCAGCUCUAAGCGGGUGGUAAAUUUCAUCUAAAGCUAAAUAUUGGCCGGAGACCGAUAGCGCACAAGUAGAGUGAUCGAAAGGAUAAAAGCACCUUGAAAAGGGAGUUAAACAGCACGUGAAAUUGUUGAAAGGGAAGCGCUUGCGGCCAGACUCGAGCGCGGGGCUCAUCGGGUGCGUGUCACCCGUGCACUCCCCGCCGCUCGGGCCAGCAUCAGUUCUGACGGCCGGUCAAAGGCCCCCGGAAUGUGUCGUCUCUCGGGACGUCUUAUAGCCGGGGGUGCAAUGCGGCCCGCCGGGACUGAGGAACGCGCUUCGGCUCGGAUGCUGGCAUAAUGGCCGUAAGCGGCCCGUCUUGAAACACGGACCAAGGAGUCUAACAUCCACGCGAGUGUUCGGGUGUCAAACCCGUGCGCGCAGUGAAAGCGAACGGAGGUGGGAGCCUUAGGGCGCACCAUCGACCGAUCCUGAAGUCUUCGGAUGGAUUUGAGUAGGAGCGUGGCCGUUGGGACCCGAAAGAUGGUGAACUAUGCCUGAAUAGGGUGAAGCCAGAGGAAACUCUGGUGGAGGCUCGCAGCGGUUCUGACGUGCAAAUCGAUCGUCAAAUUU
Molecule: ribosomal RNA, 808 nt
Filed under: Arthroderma thuringiense
Lineage: Eukaryota; Fungi; Ascomycota; Eurotiomycetes; Onygenales; Arthrodermataceae
Description: eukaryotic LSU rRNA
Rfam family: Eukaryotic large subunit ribosomal RNA
Source: RNAcentral